UUAAAUUGAAGAGUUUGAUCAUGGCUCAGAUUGAACGCUGGCGGCAGGCCUAACACAUGCAAGUCGAACGGUAACAGGAAGCAGCUUGCUGCUUCGCUGACGAGUGGCGGACGGGUGAGUAAUGUCUGGGAAACUGCCUGAUGGAGGGGGAUAACUACUGGAAACGGUAGCUAAUACCGCAUAACGUCGCAAGACCAAAGAGGGGGACCUUCGGGCCUCUUGCCAUCGGAUGUGCCCAGAUGGGAUUAGCUAGUAGGUGGGGUAACGGCUCACCUAGGCGACGAUCCCUAGCUGGUCUGAGAGGAUGACCAGCCACACUGGAACUGAGACACGGUCCAGAC
This 341-nucleotide ribosomal RNA is filed under the name Escherichia coli. RNAcentral describes it as "bacterial SSU rRNA". It matches the Rfam family "Bacterial small subunit ribosomal RNA", at positions 1 to 336 of the family's 1533-position model. Lineage: Bacteria; Pseudomonadati; Pseudomonadota; Gammaproteobacteria; Enterobacterales; Enterobacteriaceae. The record is from RNAcentral.